UGGCUCUCUUCUUGGAGAUCAUGUGCGUGUUGUUUCAGCGCCGCCGCAAACUAGGAGGACGCGUGCGCGUGGAGCCUCAAGAAUCUUCUGCUCUAGCAUGUGUUCCACGUGCGAGUAUGAAGUAUGGGUACUACGGUGCGUCAAGGACAUUGUUCACCAUCAAGGAAGGAGAAAGAGAGGGUUCGGACUCUCACUCAACUGUUUCCUCCGCAGAGAAUAAUAGUACCACUAAUACUACUCUUAAUGUCGUAAUAAUCAACACCAACAAC
Molecule: long non-coding RNA, 269 nt
Filed under: Arachis ipaensis
Lineage: Eukaryota; Viridiplantae; Streptophyta; Magnoliopsida; Fabales; Fabaceae
Description: long non-coding RNA (AIPA_LNC001514)
Source: RNAcentral